This 2255-nucleotide ribosomal RNA is filed under the name Porphyromonas crevioricanis. Its description in RNAcentral is "bacterial LSU rRNA". It matches the Rfam family "Bacterial large subunit ribosomal RNA", at positions 296 to 2571 of the family's 2925-position model. Lineage: Bacteria; Pseudomonadati; Bacteroidota; Bacteroidia; Bacteroidales; Porphyromonadaceae. The record is from RNAcentral.
AUAGGACUUCGAUAUAGAUUUUACACAGUUAGAAGAAGCGUAUGGAAAUGCGCACCAUAGGGGGUGAUAGUCCCGUAUUUUAAAGCUGGGUUAGAGUUUUAGGAGUAUCCUGAGUAGCGCGGGACACGAGAAAUCUUGCGUGAAUUAGCGGGGCCCAUCCCGUAAGGCUAAAUAUGUCUGAGAGACCGAUAGUGAACCAGUACCGUGAGGGAAAGGUGAAAAGAACCUCGAACAGAGGAGUGCAAUAGAUCCUGAACCCGUCUGCCUACAAGCGGUAGGAGCCGAUAUUAUAUUGGUGACUGCGUGCCUUUUGCAUAAUGAACCUACGAGUUUUUCUAUUCGGCGAGGUUAAGGUGUUAAUCACCGGAGCCGUAGCGAAAGCGAGUUUUAAACAGCGUAUAGUCGGAUGGAGAAGACGCGAAACCAAGUGAUCUACCCUUGGUCAGGUUGAAGGUUAGGUAACACUAACUGGAGGAUCGAAUCGUUAAGCGUUGAAAAGCUUUCGAAUGAACUGAGGGUAGGGGUGAAAGGCUAAUCAAACUUGGAGAUAGCUCGUACUCCCCGAAAUGCAUUUAGGUGCAGCCUUGUAUUUUUUGACUGUGAGGUAGAGCGACUGAUUGGAUGCGAGGGUUUCACCGCCUAUCAAGUCCAGACAAACUCCGAAUGCGCAGUUCAUAUAUUACAGGAGUGAGGGCAUGGGUGCUAAGGUCCAUGUCCGAGAGGAGAAGAAUCCGGACCAUCAGCUAAGGUCCCAAAAUACCGGCUCAGUUGAAUAAACGAAGUCAAGAUGCAUAGACAGCUAGGAUGUUGGCUUGGAAGCAGCCAUUCAUUUAAAGAGUGCGUAACAGCUCACUAGUCGAGGAUUUUGGCGUGGAUAAUAAUCGGGCAUAAGUCGGUUACCGAAGCUGUGGGAUCUGCAAAGAUCGGUAGGGGAGCAUUCCAAUUUGGUUGAAGAUAAGGAUUGAUUCUUGUUGGACGGAUUGGAAAAGCAAAUGUAGGUAUAAGUAACGAUAAAGGGGGUGAGAAACCUCCUCGCCGAAAGACUAAGGUUUCCUGAUCAACGCUAAUCGGAUCAGGGUUAGUCGGGACCUAAGGGGCAGCCUUUUGGCGUACCCGAUGGCAUAAUGGGUUAAUAUUCCCAUACUAAUGGUAUGAGUGAUGUGGAGACGUAGGAGUGACAGAGGAGCCGACUGACGGAAUAGUUGGUUGAAGGGAGUAGAAGUUGAUUGGUGUAGGCAAAUCCGCACUGAGAUUCGAACCUGAUAGUACCGAGCGUAUUUAUACAAUCGGAUAUUUCUCGUAACCAUACUACCAAGAAAAUCUGCUAAACAUAUUGUACCAUUACCCGUACCGUAAACCGACACAGGUAGUUGGGUUGAGUAUACUAAGGCGCUCGAGAUAUUCGCGGUUAAGGAACUAGGCAAAAUAGUCCUGUAACUUCGGGAAAAAGGACGCCACACUGUUAGUGUGGCCGCAGAGAAUAGGCCCAGGCGACUGUUUAACAAAAACAUAUGGCUAUGCUAAAUGGAAACAUGCUGUAUAUAGCCUGACACCUGCCCGGUGCCGGAAGGUUAAGAGGAGAAGUUAUCGCAAGAGACGCUUUGAAUUGAAGCCCCGGUAAACGGCGGCCGUAACUAUAACGGUCCUAAGGUAGCGAAAUUCCUUGUCGGGUAAGUUCCGACCUGCACGAAUGGUGUAACGAUCUGGGCACUGUCUCAACCGCGAGCUCGGUGAAAUUGUAGUAUCGGUGAAGAUGCCGAUUACCCGCAACGGGACGAAAAGACCCCGUGAACCUUUACUAUAGCUUUACAUUGGAUUUGGGUGUCAGAUGUGUAGGAUAGGCCGGAGACUGAGAGUUGGUGACGCCAGUCAUCAAGGAGUCGCUGUUGAAAUACGGCCCUUUUGACAUUUGGGUUCUAACUUGUAGAUCAAGGACAAUGUAUGGUAGGUAGUUUGACUGGGGUGGUCGCCUCCAAAAGCGUAACGGAGGCUUCUAAAGGUACCCUCAGGCCGAUUGGUAACCGGUCGUAGAGUGUAAUGGCACAAGGGUGCUUGACUGGGAGACAAACAAGUCGCACAGGUAGGAAACUAGAGCAUAGUGAUCCGGUGGUUCCGUAUGGAAGGGCCAUCGCUCAAAGGAUAAAAGGUACUCCGGGGAUAACAGGCUGAUCGCUCCCAAGAGCUCAUAUCGACGGAGCGGUUUGGCACCUCGAUGUCGGCUCGUCACAUCCUGGGGCUGGAGAAGGUCCCAAGGG